UACGGAGGAUGCGAGCGUUAUCCGGAUUUAUUGGGUUUAAAGGGUGCGUAGGCGGUUCGUUAAGUCAGCGGUAAAAUUGCGGGGCUCAACCCCGUCGAGCCGUUGAAACUGGCAGACUUGAGUUGGCGAGAAGUACGCGGAAUGCGCGGUGUAGCGGUGAAAUGCAUAGAUAUCGCGCAGAACUCCGAUUGCGAAGGCAGCGUACCGGCGCCAGACUGACGCUGAGGCUCGAAAGCGUGGGGAUCGAACAGG
RNAcentral lists this ribosomal RNA (252 nucleotides) under uncultured bacterium. Its description in RNAcentral is "partial 16S ribosomal RNA". It matches the Rfam family "Bacterial small subunit ribosomal RNA", at positions 524 to 776 of the family's 1533-position model. The record is from RNAcentral.